UUAAGCGACUAAGCGUACACGGUGGAUGCCCUGGCAGUCAGAGGCGAUGAAGGACGUGCUAAUCUGCGAAAAGCGUCGGUAAGGUGAUAUGAACCGUUAUAACCGGCGAUGUCCGAAUGGGGAAACCCAGUGUGAUUCGUCACACUAUCGUUAACUGAAUACAUAGGUUAACGAGGCGAACCGGGGGAACUGAAACAUCUAAGUACCCCGAGGAAAAGAAAUCAACCGAGAUUCCCCCAGUAGCGGCGAGCGAACGGGGAGCAGCCCAGAGUCUGAAUCAGCUUGUGUGUUAGUGGAACGGUCUGGAAAGUCCGACGGUACAGGGUGAUAGUCCCGUACACCAAAAUGCACAGGUUGUGAACUCGAAGAGUAGGGCGGGACACGUGGUAUCCUGUCUGAAUAUGGGGGGACCAUCCUCCAAGGCUAAAUACUCCUGACUGACCGAUAGUGAACCAGUACCGUGAGGGAAAGGCGAAAAGAACCCCGGCGAGGGGAGUGAAAAAGAACCUGAAACCGUGUACGUACAAGCAGUGGGAGCACCUUCGGGUGUGACUGCGUACCUUUUGUAUAAUGGGUCAGCGACUUAUAUUCUGUAGCAAGGUUAACCGUAUAGGGGAGCCGCAGGGAAACCGAGUCUUAACUGGGCGUUAAGUUGCAGGGUAUAGACCCGAAACCCGGUGAUCUAGCCAUGGGCAGGUUGAAGGUUGGGUAACACUAACUGGAGGACCGAACCGACUAAUGUUGAAAAAUUAGCGGAUGACUUGUGGCUGGGGGUGAAAGGCCAAUCAAACCGGGAGAUAGCUGGUUCUCCCCGAAAGCUAUUUAGGUAGCGCCUCGUGAACUCAUCUUCGGGGGUAGAGCACUGUUUCGGCUAGGGGGUCAUCCCGACUUACCAACCCGAUGCAAACUACGAAUACCGAAGAAUGUUAUCACGGGAGACACACGGCGGGUGCUAACGUCCGUCGUGAAGAGGGAAACAACCCAGACCGCCAGCUAAGGUCCCAAAGUCAUGGUUAAGUGGGAAACGAUGUGGGAAGGCACAGACAGCCAGGAUGUUGGCUUAGAAGCAGCCAUCAUUUAAAGAAAGCGUAAUAGCUCACUGGUCGAGUCGGCCUGCGCGGAAGAUGUAACGGGGCUAAACCAUGCACCGAAGCUGCGGCAGCGACACUAUGUGUUGUUGGGUAGGGGAGCGUUCUGUAAGCCUGCGAAGGUGUGCUGUGAGGCAUGCUGGAGGUAUCAGAAGUGCGAAUGCUGACAUAAGUAACGAUAAAGCGGGUGAAAAGCCCGCUCGCCGGAAGACCAAGGGUUCCUGUCCAACGUUAAUCGGGGCAGGGUGAGUCGACCCCUAAGGCGAGGCCGAAAGGCGUAGUCGAUGGGAAACAGGUUAAUAUUCCUGUACUUGGUGUUACUGCGAAGGGGGGACGGAGAAGGCUAUGUUAGCCGGGCGACGGUUGUCCCGGUUUAAGCAUGUAGGCUGNNNNNNUGGAGCUGAGACCAGUCGAAGAUACCAGCUGGCUGCAACUGUUUAUUAAAAACACAGCACUGUGCAAACACGAAAGUGGACGUAUACGGUGUGACGCCUGCCCGGUGCCGGAAGGUUAAUUGAUGGGGUUAUCCGUAAGGAGAAGCUCUUGAUCGAAGCCCCGGUAAACGGCGGCCGUAACUAUAACGGUCCUAAGGUAGCGAAAUUCCUUGUCGGGUAAGUUCCGACCUGCACGAAUGGCGUAAUGAUGGCCAGGCUGUCUCCACCCGAGACUCAGUGAAAUUGAACUCGCUGUGAAGAUGCAGUGUACCCGCGGCAAGACGGAAAGACCCCGUGAACCUUUACUAUAGCUUGACACUGAACAUUGAGCCUUGAUGUGUAGGAUAGGUGGGAGGCUUUGAAGCGUGGACGCCAGUCUGCGUGGAGCCAACCUUGAAAUACCACCCUUUAAUGUUUGAUGUUCUAACGUUGGCCCCUNCGGGGUUGCGGACAGUGUCUGGUGGGUAGUUUGACUGGGGCGGUCUCCUCCCAAAGCGUAACGGAGGAGCACGAAGGUUAGCUAAUCCUGGUCGGACAUCAGGAGGUUAGUGCAAUGGCAUAAGCUAGCUUGACUGCGAGCGUGACGGCGCGAGCAGGUGCGAAAGCAGGUCAUAGUGAUCCGGUGGUUCUGAAUGGAAGGGCCAUCGCUCAACGGAUAAAAGGUACUCCGGGGAUAACAGGCUGAUACCGCCCAAGAGUUCAUAUCGACGGCGGUGUUUGGCACCUCGAUGUCGGCUCAUCACAUCCUGGGGCUGAAGUAGGUCCCAAGGGUAUGGCUGUUCGCCAUUUAAAGUGGUACGCGAGCUGGGUUUAGAACGUCGUGAGACAGUUCGGUCCCUAUCUGCCGUGGGCGCUGGAGAAUUGAGGGGGGCUGCUCCUAGUACGAGAGGACCGGAGUGGACGCAUCACUGGUGUUCGGGUUGUCAUGCCAAUGGCACUGCCCGGUAGCUAAAUGCGGAAGAGAUAAGUGCUGAAAGCAUCUAAGCACGAAACUUGCCCCGAGAUGAGUUCUCCCUGAGACUUUAAGUCUCCUGAAGGAACGUUGAAGACGACGACGUUGAUAGGCCGGGUGUGUAAGCGCAGCGAUGCGUUGAGCUAACCGGUACUAAUGAACCGUGAGGCUUAACCUU
Molecule: ribosomal RNA, 2652 nt
Filed under: Klebsiella pneumoniae
Lineage: Bacteria; Pseudomonadati; Pseudomonadota; Gammaproteobacteria; Enterobacterales; Enterobacteriaceae
Description: 23S ribosomal RNA
Rfam family: Bacterial large subunit ribosomal RNA
Source: RNAcentral